AUUGAACGCUGGCGGCAGGCCUAACACAUGCAAAUCGAAAGAGUGGCGGACGGGUGAGUAAUGUCUGGGAAACUGCCUGAUGGAGGGGGAUAACUACUGGAAACGGUAGCUAAUACCGCAUACCCUCAGAUGUGCCCAGAUGGGAUUGGCUUGUUGGUGGGGUAAAGGCUCACAAAGGCGACGAUCACUAGCGGGUCUGAGAGGAUGACCAGCCACACUGGAACUGAGACACAGUCCAGACUCCUAAGGGAGGCAGCAGGGGUGAAUAUUGCACAAGGGGGGCAAGCCUGAUGCAGCCAUGCCGCGGGUAUGAAGAAGGCCUUCGGGUUGUAAAGUACGUUCAGCGGGGAGGCGUUACCCGCAGAAGAAGCACCGGCUAACUCCGUGCCAGCAGCCGCGGUAAUUC
RNAcentral lists this ribosomal RNA (406 nucleotides) under uncultured bacterium. RNAcentral's name for it is "partial 16S ribosomal RNA". It matches the Rfam family "Bacterial small subunit ribosomal RNA", at positions 30 to 526 of the family's 1533-position model. The record is from RNAcentral.